This 253-nucleotide ribosomal RNA is filed under the name uncultured bacterium. RNAcentral describes it as "partial 16S ribosomal RNA". It matches the Rfam family "Bacterial small subunit ribosomal RNA", at positions 524 to 776 of the family's 1533-position model. The record is from RNAcentral.
UACGUAGGGUGCGAGCGUUGUCCGGAAUUAUUGGGCGUAAAGGGCUCGUAGGCGGUUUGUUGCGUCGGGAGUGAAAACCUCGGGCUUAACUCGGGGCUUGCUUUCGAUACGGGCAGACUGGAGUGAUGCAGGGGAGAACGGAAUUCCUGGUGUAGCGGUGAAAUGCGCAGAUAUCAGGAGGAACACCGGUGGCGAAGGCGGUUCUCUGGGCAGUACCUGACGCUGAGGAGCGAAAGCGUGGGGAGCGAACAGG